This 74-nucleotide transfer RNA is filed under the name Pleurosigma sp. mgcode 4. RNAcentral describes it as "tRNA-Ile". It matches the Rfam family "tRNA". From Rfam's summary of the family: Transfer RNA (tRNA) molecules are approximately 80 nucleotides in length. The record is from RNAcentral. Lineage: Eukaryota; Bacillariophyta; Bacillariophyceae; Naviculales; Pleurosigmataceae.
AAGUCUAUAGCUCAGUUGGUUAGAGCAUACACCUGAUAAGUGUAAAGUCAGUAGUUCAAAUCUACUUAGACUUA